GUGGGGAAUUUUGGACAAUGGGGGCAACCCUGAUCCAGCAAUGCCGCGUGCAGGAAGAAGGCCUUCGGGUUGUAAACUGCUUUUGUACGGAACGAAACGGUCCUGGUUAAUACCUGGGGCUAAUGACGGUACCGUAAGAAUAAGCACCGGCUAACUACGUGCCAGCAGCCGCGGUAAUACGUAGGGUGCAAGCGUUAAUCGGAAUUACUGGGCGUAAAGCGUGCGCAGGCGGUUUUGUAAGACAGGCGUGAAAUCCCCGGGCUCAACCUGGGGAUGGCGCUUGUGACUGCAAGGCUGGAGUGCGGCAGAGGGGGAUGGAAUUCCGCGUGUAGCAGUGAAAUGCGUAGAUAUGCGGAGGAACACCGAUGGCGAAGGCAAUCCCCUGGGCCUGCACUGACGCUCAUGCACGAAAGCGUGGGGAGCAAACAGGAUUAGAAACCCUUGUAGUCC
This 450-nucleotide ribosomal RNA is filed under the name uncultured bacterium. RNAcentral's name for it is "partial 16S ribosomal RNA". It matches the Rfam family "Bacterial small subunit ribosomal RNA", at positions 354 to 796 of the family's 1533-position model. The record is from RNAcentral.